This 51-nucleotide ribosomal RNA is filed under the name Ficus ingens. RNAcentral's name for it is "partial 18S ribosomal RNA". Lineage: Eukaryota; Viridiplantae; Streptophyta; Magnoliopsida; Rosales; Moraceae. The record is from RNAcentral.
ACCUGCGGAAGGAUCAUUGUCGAAACCUGCCCAGCAGAAAGACCCGCGAAC